GGCUGGGAGCGUUCGGAAAGCGGCCUGAGCGCGGUGGCCGAACUCUGGCAGGGUGUUCCGCUCGGCUGCAGCUCCGCGCUCUCUCCACCCUCGGGAGAGCUAACACCGCCAGUCGGACUGCCGAGCCACUUCCCGCUGCGGUUUCUCUAGCCUCAGUCUGCCAGAUUUUUGUAGACCUUACAUAAAUAUUCCAGUUUGUGAAGCCAUCAUGUAUGUAACAUAUUGGAGAAUAUUAUUUUCAGAUACUCAAAACUCCCCGACUCCUUCCCAUUGCUGAGCACAACUGAGGCAGGGGCAUCCCAGAAAUCGCCUCUGCUGUUUCUGAGAAGGCACCCUGGCAAUCAGCACAGGAAGAUGCCGGAAGGACGCUCCAUAUCUGCUUUCUGACUGAGAGUGAACAAUGAACUGCCAGAUCUGAUCCACACCAUCACCUACCUGAGCUUUCAUUCCCAUCUUGUGCAGCUUCCGGCCCUUGAUAAAUCCUUUCAUUCCAUUCUCCACCAGGAAGAGGCUAAUGCCAUGGGCAGGCGAUCGAGCUUCACGAUUGGUUAUGGCGACUACAAUCACAAGGUCACUUAACCAGCCAUUAGUGAU
This is a non-coding RNA of Myodes glareolus (Bank vole), 594 nucleotides long. The record is from RefSeq and is a predicted model, not a curated record. NCBI's taxonomy places the organism in Eukaryota, Metazoa, Chordata, Mammalia, Rodentia, Cricetidae.